RNAcentral lists this ribosomal RNA (468 nucleotides) under uncultured bacterium. RNAcentral describes it as "partial 16S ribosomal RNA". It matches the Rfam family "Bacterial small subunit ribosomal RNA", at positions 28 to 507 of the family's 1533-position model. The record is from RNAcentral.
GACGAACGCUGGCGGCGUGCUUAACACAUGCAAGUCGAACGGAAAGGCCCUGCUUUUGUGGGGUGCUCGAGUGGCGAACGGGUGAGUAACACGUGAGUAACCUGCCCUUGACUUUGGGAUAACUUCAGGAAACUGGGGCUAAUACCGGAUAGGAGCUCCUGCUUCAUGGUGGGGGUUGGAAAGUUUCGGCGGUUGGGGAUGGACUCGCGGCUUAUCGGCUUGUUGGUGGGGUAGUGGCUUACCAAGGCUUUGAUGGGUAGCCGGCCUGAGAGGGUGACCGGCCACAUUGGGACUGAGAUACGGCCCAGACUCCUACGGGAGGCAGCAGUGGGGAAUAUUGCACAAUGGGCGGAAGCCUGAUGCAGCAACGCCGCGUGCGGGAUGACGGCCUUCGGGUUGUAAACCGCUUUCGCCUGUGACGAAGCGUGAGUGACGGUAAUGGGUAAAGAAGCACCGGCUAACUACGUG